RNAcentral lists this ribosomal RNA (454 nucleotides) under Coryphella verrucosa. RNAcentral describes it as "SSU rRNA". It matches the Rfam family "Eukaryotic small subunit ribosomal RNA", at positions 564 to 970 of the family's 1831-position model. Lineage: Eukaryota; Metazoa; Mollusca; Gastropoda; Nudibranchia; Coryphellidae. The record is from RNAcentral.
GUGCCAGCAGCCGCGGUAAUUCCAGCUCCAAUAGCGUAUAUUAAAGCUGCUGCAGUUAAAAAGCUCGUAGUUGGAUCUCGAGGCGGCCGCGAUGGUCCGGCGGGGAUAGCAGUGGCGUCUCGGUUCUGCCGGUCGUCACUCGCUUCUCCACCAGCCUUGGCGCGCCGCCCCGUCGAGUGUCGGCUCUCUCCCGCGGCCGCUCUUCACUGAACGGCCCGGGCGGCCGACCUUUUACUUUGAAAAAAUUAGAGUGUUCAAGGCGGGCCCGAUGUGCCCGGAUAGCCGCGCAUGGAAUGAUAGAACAGGACCGCCGUCCCGUUCAAACGGCCGGUCUCAGGGGCGGAGGUAAUGAUUGAGAGGGACGGCCGGGGGCAUUCGUACCGCGGCGGGAGAGGUGAAAUUCGAUGAUCGUCGCGAGACGGCCGAGAGCGAAAGCAUUUGUCAAGAGCGCUUU